This 427-nucleotide ribosomal RNA is filed under the name uncultured Lachnospiraceae bacterium. RNAcentral's name for it is "bacterial SSU rRNA". It matches the Rfam family "Bacterial small subunit ribosomal RNA", at positions 355 to 794 of the family's 1533-position model. The record is from RNAcentral. Lineage: Bacteria; Bacillati; Bacillota; Clostridia; Lachnospirales; Lachnospiraceae.
UGGGGAAUAUUGGGCAAUGGGGCGCAAGCCUGACCCAGCAACGCCGCGUGAGGGAAGAAGGUUUUCGGAUUGUAAACCUCUGUCGCAGGGGACGAAGGAAGUGACGGUACCCUGUAAGAAAGCCCCGGCUAACUACGUGCCAGCAGCCGCGGUAAUACGUAGGGGGCAAGCGUUAUCCGGAUUUACUGGGUGUAAAGGGAGCGCAGGCGGCAAAGCAAGCCAGAGGUGAAAACCCGGGGCUCAACCCCGAGGAUUGCCUUUGGAACUGUUUUACUGGAGUGCUGGAGGGGCGGGCGGAAUUCCUGGUGUAGCGGUGAAAUGCGUAGAUAUCAGGAGGAACACCGGUGGCGAAGGCGGCCUGCUGGACAGUAACUGACGCUGAGGCUCGAAAGCGUGGGGAGCAAACAGGAUUAGAUACCCUGGUAGU